This 502-nucleotide ribosomal RNA is filed under the name uncultured Bacteroidota bacterium. Its description in RNAcentral is "bacterial SSU rRNA". It matches the Rfam family "Bacterial small subunit ribosomal RNA", at positions 88 to 588 of the family's 1533-position model. Lineage: Bacteria; Pseudomonadati; Bacteroidota. The record is from RNAcentral.
CUAGAGACCGGCGCACGGGUGCGUAACGCGUAUGCAAUCUACCUUUCACAAAGGGAUAGCCCAGAGAAAUUUGGAUUAAUACCUUAUAGUAUAGCGACUUCGCAUGGAGAUGCUAUUAAAGAUUUAUCGGUGAAAGAUGAGCAUGCGUCCCAUUAGCUAGUUGGUAAGGUAACGGCUUACCAAGGCUACGAUGGGUAGGGGUCCUGAGAGGGAGAUCCCCCACACUGGUACUGAGACACGGACCAGACUCCUACGGGAGGCAGCAGUGAGGAAUAUUGGUCAAUGGGCGCAAGCCUGAACCAGCCAUGCCGCGUGCAGGAUGACGGUCCUAUGGAUUGUAAACUGCUUUUGUACAGGAAGAAACACUCCCUCGUGAGGGAGCUUGACGGUACUGUAAGAAUAAGGAUCGGCUAACUCCGUGCCAGCAGCCGCGGUAAUACGGAGGAUCCAAGCGUUAUCCGGAAUCAUUGGGUUUAAAGGGUCCGUAGGCGGCUUAAUAAGU